AUGGCCUGCUGCACGUCUGCGCCUUUUCUUCUAUUGGUAAUUAGGACCCCAAGGAGGGGGGGGGGUGGAUCAGCUGACGGGCCCUUGAAAAGGAGCCUUGAGAGGUUGCUGGAUUGGUCCUUAAUGCUACCUGUUCGACGUUCGAGGACGUAUCUGACCAUAGUUCGGUUGAGCCAAUCACUUGCACACCCACGUGACCCCCUCCCCCCGCUCCUCCAUCUCCUCCGACCAGAUCCGACGCGCGCGUGGGAUCAGAUGUUGCUAGUGGUAGUUCGGGGCGUGCGGGCGGACCAGAUCGACCUCAAGACCCUCGACGAGCAGCUCGACCGCCACCUCGCGCGCGCCAGGACUGGGAGGCCGACCCCGCUAGGCUCGUCGUCCGAGGCUUCGUCGCGCGCGGCACCUUCGACACCGUCCACCGCGGCAUCUUCGACGGCCUCGACGUCGCAGGUCCGUCCCGCCACCAUCUCCUCUGCUCCACUCCCCUCCCCUCCCUCCCCGUUCACUGCACGCUUGUUCAUUGCCAACAUGGACACUCGGCACGCGGGUUUCUUCGUCAUGAUCUGGAUUGCCGCAGUCAUGUUCAAGUCCAAUGAUAUCUUGCGCAAGCAGACCGCUCUCAAGGUUGGUUCUUCAUAA
RNAcentral lists this ribosomal RNA (639 nucleotides) under Triticum aestivum (bread wheat). RNAcentral's name for it is "partial small subunit ribosomal RNA". Lineage: Eukaryota; Viridiplantae; Streptophyta; Magnoliopsida; Poales; Poaceae. The record is from RNAcentral.